This is a non-coding RNA of Lentinula aff. lateritia, 126 nucleotides long. The record is from the annotation of a GenBank genome assembly. Lineage: Eukaryota; Fungi; Basidiomycota; Agaricomycetes; Agaricales; Omphalotaceae.
GUCACUUUGCCGGAGAGGUUAACGGGAUCGCCUGCUAGUCUUAGUAUCCCUUCAAAGGUCGUAUGCUGUUAUGAAGUCAAGAGCGGUUGGGCUUUGCCCGCGUGUGUUCGAAUCGCACAGGUGACG